CUAGGUUGCUGCAGUGGGGAAUAUUGGACAAUGGGCGAAAGCCUGAUCCAGCAAUGCCGCGUGAGUGAUGAAGGCCUUAGGGUUGUAAAGCUCUUUUACCCGGGAUGAUAAUGACAGUACCGGGAGAAUAAGCUCCGGCUAACUCCGUGCCAGCAGCCGCGGUAAUACGGAGGGAGCUAGCGUUGUUCGGAAUUACUGGGGGUAAAGCGCGCGUAGGCGGUCAUUCAAGUCAGAGGUGAAAGCCCGGGGCUCAACCCCGGAACUGCCUUUGAAACUAGAUGACUAGAAUCUUGGAGAGGUCAGUGGAAUUCCGGGUGUAGAGGUGAAAUUCGUAGAUAUUCGGAAGAACACCAGUGGCGAAGGCGACUGACUGGACAAGUAUUGACGCUGAGGUGCGAAAGCGUGGGGAGCAAACAGGAUUAGAUACCCAGUAGUC
This 436-nucleotide ribosomal RNA is filed under the name uncultured bacterium. RNAcentral describes it as "partial 16S ribosomal RNA". It matches the Rfam family "Bacterial small subunit ribosomal RNA", at positions 339 to 795 of the family's 1533-position model. The record is from RNAcentral.